AGAGCAGCACUGGGCAUAAAGUGUGCGCAGGCGGUUCGUUAAGUCUGCUGUGAAAGCCCUGGGCUCAACCUGGGAAUGGCAGUGGAUACUGGCGAGCUAGAGUACGGUAGAGGAAGGUGGAAUUCCCGGUGUAGCGGUGAAAUGCGUAGAGAUCGGGAGGAACACCAGUGGCGAAGGCGACCUUCUGGACCAGUACUGACGCUCAUGCACGAAAGCGUGGGGAGCAAACAGGAUUAGAUACCCUGGUAGUCCACGCCCUAAACGAUGCGAACUGGAUGUUGGGCACACUUUGGUGCUCAGUGUCGAAGCUAACGCGUUAAGUUCGCCGCCUGGGGAGUACGGUCGCAAGACUGAAACUUAAAAAAUUAGACGG
RNAcentral lists this ribosomal RNA (373 nucleotides) under uncultured Dokdonella sp. RNAcentral describes it as "bacterial SSU rRNA". It matches the Rfam family "Bacterial small subunit ribosomal RNA", at positions 545 to 916 of the family's 1533-position model. Lineage: Bacteria; Pseudomonadati; Pseudomonadota; Gammaproteobacteria; Lysobacterales; Rhodanobacteraceae. The record is from RNAcentral.